Long non-coding RNA from Cygnus olor (mute swan), 1541 nucleotides. RefSeq lists it as uncharacterized. The transcript is spliced from 5 exons. The record is from RefSeq and is a predicted model, not a curated record. NCBI's taxonomy places the organism in Eukaryota, Metazoa, Chordata, Aves, Anseriformes, Anatidae.
UCGUUAUAGCCCUGAGGGCCCUGAGUAGCGCCGUGUAGAGCCUGAGUCAGAGCCCCAUCAGGGCCCCGGCUGUGGUGAGGCCACAAAUAAGGCCUGGGGGAGGGCUGGAGGAGGCACGUUGGGGUGAGACGCCCUCCCCUGAAAAAUAAGGAAAUCAAUGAAGAGAUUCAAAGGCUAAUGAGAAGAGGAUGGGAAAAGAAGCUGACAGAUGGAUGGACAGACAACAUGACUGUGAUGAAAAUGACAUUUCUUUGUAUGAUGCGUCAUCCCCACAGUACCAUCUUCUGCUUGAUGAAGUGUGUGAGCCAUAGCACUGCAAGCCUGAUUUGGAAAAAAGAGGGACACGCCACAUCUGGCUGCUGCUUAUCCACACGUGUCCUACGGCAACGCAACGCAGGAGAGGGCAGAUGGUUUGGGAAUCAUUGUGGAGCUGGGUUCAAGCCAAGGAAAUCACCUCACCCCUCUCUAUAUUGCAAAGAAGAGUUUAUGAACCUUCCCACAUUUCAGAGGGUUUUGCUAAGCAUGCUACUUGAACCCAGUUGGGGAUUUCGGCUGAUUGACCCAUGGAGCUGCUGAGAAAGGCCAGCCAAAAAUGAGAAAUAUUUUCAAGAGCUUUGCCAACAUUGCUGGGAGGAGAUGCCCUGCAAAAGCGUUCAGCUUUCUGAGACACAGGCUUCUAGGAUAUAAAUGUAGCACUUCUGGUACAGACAAUCUGGACAGAGAAGAGCUUGUUAUCUGCGUAAGUCAGUGCCCCGAAGGCCACAAUCCUCUGAAAGUGUCACCUCUGUCUCAUUUUGAGUAACCCCCAUUCCUGCGACCUGCCUGCAUCUGUCUAGGCCGGAUCAGGGUGUGCGAAAUUCUACAGCUGCUGAGGAAAAACUGGAGUUCUGGGUCUCUCAGUCCAAGUCUGUGGGCACACUGACGUAGGGGCAGCCGACAAAAUCAGAAGCAGUUUGAAUGAAAUCAUCUGAGAGGCUCAGCACAUCACAGAACUGGGAGAACUAAGAGUGCUGCUGUCAGAAUAUGGGGCUGUGAGGCAAUGACAGCUUUCUGAGUUCAUGUGGAAAGGGUGGCAGAAACUGAGCUUAUUUAAGAAGUGGUGCCAGAAAAAAAAAAAAAAAAAAAGACCAUGUCAUUUCAACCCUCUGGUCUUGUACUUAUAAACUGUGUCUUGCUUCCUUUCCGAAAGCUUCUAACUCUUUUAAAUGAAAUUAGUUGAAGUUUAUUACCCCCCUGAGGUUGAACUUCUCCAGACGUUGUUUCAUUUGUGUGUUUUACCCAUUCCGUGCUGUAAUGACUACUGUUUCCUGUCCUAUUAUUUCAGUCAAAUCAUGGCUACAUCAAGUUGGUUUAACACAGCGGUGAUUUACAUUUGAUGAGAAGACUGCUGCUGCAACUCACAGCUUGAGUGCUGCUAUUUCUACAGACCUCUGUUUCUGAUUCACUAUUCUCCUCCACUUCUUAUUCAGACAUUUAUGGAUUGGAUAAUGAGCAUAGUGGGUUGAUACUUAGCUGACUUUUCAGCAGAAUUAUAGCAGAUA